Molecule: ribosomal RNA, 272 nt
Filed under: uncultured bacterium
Lineage: Bacteria
Description: partial small subunit ribosomal RNA
Rfam family: Bacterial small subunit ribosomal RNA
Source: RNAcentral
AGAAUCAACGCUGGCGGCGUGCCUAACACAUGCAAGUCGAACGCGAAAGGGGCUUCGGCCCUGAGUAGAGUGGCGAACGGGUGAGUAACGCGUGGGUGAUCUACCUUCGAGUGGGGGAUAACGUUCCGAAAGGGACGCUAAUACCGCAUGACGUUCUGGGUUUGAAGACCUGGAAACCAAAGCCGGGGACCGCAAGGCCUGGCGCUUGAAGAGGAGCCCGCGUCCGAUUAGCUAGUUGGCGGGGUAAUGGCCCACCAAGGCGACGAUCGGUA